RNAcentral lists this ribosomal RNA (1374 nucleotides) under Triticum aestivum (bread wheat). Its description in RNAcentral is "partial small subunit ribosomal RNA". Lineage: Eukaryota; Viridiplantae; Streptophyta; Magnoliopsida; Poales; Poaceae. The record is from RNAcentral.
AUGUCAGGGUCGGAUCACAGAAUUCACGUGCUCCUCGUCUCAUACCCAGCCCAAGGCCACAUCAACCCGCUUCUCCAGUUGGCGAAGCGGCUCGCCGGCCACCGCGGCAUCCGCUGCACCCUCGCCGUGACCCGGUCCGUGCUCGGCAACUCCGGCGGACCAUCUCAGGCCGGCGCGGUCCAUAUCGCCGCCUUCUCGGAUGGGUGCGACCGGCAGGGCUACGAUGAGGUCGGCGAUGUGCAGACCUUCCUGGCACGGCUCGAGUCGGUCGGGUCGUCCACGCUGGACGAGCUCCUCCGCUCCGAAUCGGAGCAUGGCCGGCCGGUGCACGCCGUCGUGUACGACGCGUUCCUCCUCUGGGCGCCGCGUGUGGCACGGCGGCACGGCGCCAAGUGCGCGGCCUUCUUCACGCAGGCGUGCGCGGUGAACGUGGUGUACGCCCACGCGUGGGCAGGCCUUGUGAAACUCCCGGUGGACAAGCAGAACGCGCCGGCGCAGCUUCCUGGCCUGCCCACGAUGCUGUCGCCGGCCGACUUCCCAUCCUUCCUCACGGAUCCGGGCAGCAGCCCCGCUUACCUGCACCUGCUGCUGCAGCAGUGCGAAGGGCUUGAGGUGGCAGACUACAGUCUCAUCAACUCAUUUCACGAGCUGCAGCCCAAGGAAGCAGAGUAUUUGUCGUCGAGAUGGGGGGCCAAGGCGGUUGGCCCGAGCAUCCCGUCGGCGUACCUCGACAACCGCAUGGCCGACGACACGUCCUACGGCUUCCACCUCCACACUCCGAUGGCGGCGGAAAGUAUGGCUUGGCUAGACGACAGACCGGCGCGCUCUGUGGCGUACGUUUCCUUCGGCAGCCUCGCCAACGCCACGCCCGACCCGGCGCAGGUGGCCGAGGUCGCCGAGGGGCUGUACAGCAGCGGCCAACCCUUCGUGUGGGUCGUCAGGGCGUCCGAGACCUGGAAGCUGCCUGAGGGCUUCAUCGGCAAGGCCAUGGGGCGGGGGCUCUUCGUGACAUGGAGCCCGCAGUUGGAGGUGCUGGCGCACCCGGCCGUCGGGUGCUUCGUCACCCACUGCGGGUGGAACUCGACGAUAGAGGCCCUGAGCAUCGGCGUGCCCAUGGUCGCGGUGCCGCAGUGGUCAGACCAGCCGACCAACGCCAAAUACGUCGAGGACGUCUGGCACGUGGGUGUGCAGGUGAAAGGGGUGGUGACCAAGGAGGAGCUCGCGAGGUGCAUCAGAGAGGCCAUGGAUGAUGCCAAGGGCUACAGGACGAAUGCUGCAAGCUGGAGCCACAAGGCGAAGAAGGCCAUGAGUGAAGAUGGCAGCUCAGACCGCAACAUCGCCGACUUCCUUUCCAAACUUGGACCGAGCACAUAA